CACAGAGACGUUCGCAAAUCCUUGGAGAACCAAGAAGGCUUUGAAGCUUAACCCAACCAAACAAAAAUAACUAUUGAACUCAUAGAAGAAGCUUGGGCUCGCCACUCACCACCCACGCCGUCCAGUAUACUACGGCAGACCGGCACGCAGUGACACCUAAUGACAGCCCCUCAUCUUCACUUCUGAUUCAUUUCCAUUGUUUUAGCAAAGUUUGCAAUGUUAACAGCGAGAAUGUGGUACUAUACCUGCUAAACAUUUAUAUGUGAGCACUGUCACUGCCUUGAAAAGUUGCUCACAUAUCUAUGACUCUGACACCCAUGCCGGAUUGAAGCUGAUGCAAACAA
Molecule: long non-coding RNA, 344 nt
Organism: Notolabrus celidotus (New Zealand spotty)
Lineage: Eukaryota; Metazoa; Chordata; Actinopteri; Labriformes; Labridae
Exons: 2
Source: RefSeq, a predicted model, not a curated record